AUUGAACGCUGGCGGCAGGCCUAACACAUGCAAGUCGAGCGGAUGAAGGGAGCUUGCUCCUGGAUUCAGCGGCGGACGGGUGAGUAAUGCCCAGGAAUCUGCCUGGCAGUGGGGGAUAACGUCCGGAAACGGGCGCUAAUACCGCAUACGUCCUGAGGGAGCAAGUGGGGGAUCUUCGGACCUUACGCUAUCAUAUGAGCCUAGGUCGGAUUAGCUAGUUGGUGGGGUAAAGGCCUACCAAGGCGACGAUCCGUAACUGGUCUGAGAGGAUGAUCAGUCACACUGGAACUGAGACACGGUCCAGACUCCUACGGGAGGCAGCAGUGGGGAAUAUUGGACAAUGGGCGGAAGCCUGAUCCAGCCAUGCCGCGUGUGUGAAGAAGGUCUUCGGAUUGUAAAGCACUUUAAGUUGGGAGGAAGGGCAGUAAGUUAAUACCUUGCUGUUUUGACGUUACCAACAGAAUAAGCACCGGCUAACUUCGUG
Molecule: ribosomal RNA, 484 nt
Filed under: uncultured bacterium
Lineage: Bacteria
Description: partial 16S ribosomal RNA
Rfam family: Bacterial small subunit ribosomal RNA
Source: RNAcentral